UCUUUCAAUUGUAAUUUUUUUCAAUUGUAAUUUUUAUUUUACUGCAUUUUAUUAUUAUUAUUAUUUUUAUCAUUUAUUUUCUUUUCUAUUCUUUUCUCUUUCUUUCUUCUCUCCCUCUCUCUUUCUUGGUUUGCGUCCUUACCUUUUCCCCAUCUUUCCUCUUAAGCAUGAACACCCAGAUUACAUAUAACUUACUAAAUGCAAAUAGAUGAAUACUACAAAUAGGUCUAUAGUCCCCCUAAGCCCUUAACUACCCCCAAGUACUCCUGUCUAUUCUCUUGUUAAUAUCUGCCUGCAUUUGAGCAACCCCCCAAAGAAGCUAACAUAUACUAACCUCCAUACCAUCAAAUCGCCCGACCUUAACAUAAAAUCCUAAGUCCAAACCUCAAUUCUCUAUAUGCCAUCAAAAUCUGAAGGCCUUUAAUGAAACUAAUGAAUUUACCUAAAUCACAAUUAAAUCCAACAUCUCUAAACAUUGUCUCCUAACACAAAGGAGAGAUAGUGGAACUAUAAAAACCAAAACAAAUUUAAAGGAGAAAACAGAAACACAGCAGUCAAACAGAGUUGGAAAGUAACUUGAGCACCAUGAAAAAACAAGGGAAAAAAGGAUUACAAACAAUGCAGGACAACUUAAAU
Molecule: long non-coding RNA, 636 nt
Filed under: Marmota monax (woodchuck)
Lineage: Eukaryota; Metazoa; Chordata; Mammalia; Rodentia; Sciuridae
Source: RNAcentral